GACGAACGCUGGCGGCGUGCUUAACACGUGCAAGUCGAACGGAAAGGCCCUGCUUUUGUGGGGUGCUCGAGUGGCGAACGGGUGAGUAACACGUGAGUAACCUGCCCUUGACUUUGGGAUAACUUCAGGAAACUGGGGCUAAUACCGGAUAGGAGCUCCUGCUGCAUGGUGGGGGUUGGAAAGUUUCGGCGGUUGGGGAUGGACUCGCGGCUUAUCAGCUUGUUGGUGGGGUAGUGGCUUACCAAGGCUUUGACGGGUAGCCGGCCUGAGAGGGUGACCGGCCACAUUGGGACUGGGAUACGGCCGAGACUCCUACGGGAGGCAGCAGUGGGGAAUAUUGCACAAUGGGCGGAAGCCUGAUGCAGCAACGCCGCGUGCGGGAUGACGGCCUUCGGGUGGUAAACCGCUUUCGCCUGUGACGAGGCGUGAGUGACGGUAAUGGGUAAAGAAGCACCGGCUAACUACGUG
This 468-nucleotide ribosomal RNA is filed under the name uncultured bacterium. Its description in RNAcentral is "partial 16S ribosomal RNA". It matches the Rfam family "Bacterial small subunit ribosomal RNA", at positions 28 to 507 of the family's 1533-position model. The record is from RNAcentral.